UGGGGAUAUAGCUCAGUUGGUAGUAGCGCUGCUUUUGCAAGGCAGAUGUCAGCGGUUCGAGUCCGCUUAUCUCCAUC
This 77-nucleotide transfer RNA is filed under the name Derbesia sp. WEST4838. Its description in RNAcentral is "tRNA-Ala". It matches the Rfam family "tRNA". From Rfam's summary of the family: Transfer RNA (tRNA) molecules are approximately 80 nucleotides in length. Their secondary structure includes four short double-helical elements and three loops (D, anti-codon, and T loops). Lineage: Eukaryota; Viridiplantae; Chlorophyta; Ulvophyceae; Bryopsidales; Derbesiaceae. The record is from RNAcentral.